AUACUUACCUGGCAGGAGAGAUACCAUGAUCACGAAGGUGGUUUUCCCAGGGUGAGGCUUAUCCAUUGCACUCCGGAUGUGCUGACCCCUGCAAUUUCCCCAAAUGUGGGAAACUCGACUGCAUAAUUUGUGGUAGUGGGGGACUGCGUUCGCGCUUUCCCCUU
RNAcentral lists this small nuclear RNA (164 nucleotides) under Rhinopithecus bieti (black snub-nosed monkey). RNAcentral describes it as "U1 spliceosomal RNA (ENSRBIG00000001340.1)". It matches the Rfam family "U1 spliceosomal RNA". From Rfam's summary of the family: U1 is a small nuclear RNA (snRNA) component of the spliceosome (involved in pre-mRNA splicing). Its 5' end forms complementary base pairs with the 5' splice junction, thus defining the 5' donor site of an intron. There are significant differences in sequence and secondary structure between metazoan and yeast U1 snRNAs, the latter being much longer (568 nucleotides as compared to 164 nucleotides in human). Lineage: Eukaryota; Metazoa; Chordata; Mammalia; Primates; Cercopithecidae. The record is from Rfam by way of RNAcentral.